GUGGGGGAUAUUGCACAAUGGGGGGAACCCUGAUGCAGCGACGCCGCGUGGGCGAUGGAGCGUUUCGGCGCGUAAAGCCCUAUCAGCAGGGAAGAGAAUGGACGGUACCUGACUAAGAAGCCCCGGCUAACUACGUGCCAGCAGCCGCGGUAAUACGUAGGGGGCAAGCGUUAUCCGGAUUCACUGGGCGUAAAGGGAGCGCAGGCGGCACGGCAAGUCCGGUGUGAAAGCCCGGGGCCCAACCCCGGGACUGCACUGGAAACUGCCGGGCUGGAGUGUCGGAGGGGCAGGCGGAAUUCCUGGUGUAGCGGUGAAAUGCGUAGAUAUCAGGAGGAACACCGGUGGCGAAGGCGGCCUGCUGGACGAUGACUGACGCUGAGGCUCGAAAGCGUGGGGAGCAAACAGGA
This 407-nucleotide ribosomal RNA is filed under the name uncultured bacterium. RNAcentral's name for it is "bacterial SSU rRNA". It matches the Rfam family "Bacterial small subunit ribosomal RNA", at positions 354 to 777 of the family's 1533-position model. The record is from RNAcentral.